UUCAAAGUUGUUGGGCAUCUUCGGGUUC
Molecule: non-coding RNA, 28 nt
Filed under: Bombyx mori (domestic silkworm)
Lineage: Eukaryota; Metazoa; Arthropoda; Insecta; Lepidoptera; Bombycidae
Source: RNAcentral